GGGAGUUAAACUUCCAGAGGCAUUACAUUAAUUCAUCCCACUACCUUGACUGUCCUUCUUUCCCAGACUAAAUCACCAAAGUCCAAGUUGGUUGUGGACAGGCCACCUUCAGAUGUGCACAUGAGAUUAGCUUCCAGCCUAUCUGCCUUUAUUCUUCCUUGAGAGGAAGCUAAUUUAUUCUGCCACACGCUUCAGAAAUGCUUAACCUUGUUAUUUGAUAGCCAUGUGUUUCAGAGCUGAGGUAGGAGGAGCUGUUUAAACUCCUUUUUUGCCGAGAGAUGGAAUGUUAGAACUGAAAGGUUCUGUGACAGUUGGGGAUGACAGUUGUGGGAAGAAUCAGCUAACUGGAGGCAAAAGUGCCCAGGCCAGAGAGUUCUCGGAGCUGCUUCAGAAUGGCAUCCAAUGCUAGUUCAGGAUGACAAGUGAUGGCCCAGGAUGAUGUGGAUGACUUUGGCAUAUUUGAUGUGUGACUAGACUCUAGCUGCCCCAAAGUACCUGCUUCAACCACCUUCAUGACUGUUGGAACAAAUUGUGCUCAUCUGACUUUUCCUCUAUGAGAAGCCUCCACAUGCUUGGAGUAGCUAUCCACUCAAGUCACUGACUUAAGGCCUGUCAGUUGCCCUCAACCUGGCUAAACCAGGUCCACCUAGAGAGUUUUACUGGGGUGUGGCUGCUAUGCCUGCUACAGUUUCUUAGAGCCACAGGCAAGAAUUGGGUGAAAGAUAGAUACCAAAGGUGGAAGAGUAGCCCUGAAAAGAUAAGACCUCAGCAAGUCUUCAUGCCAGAGGCUAGUCUUCCCUGAACACUCCAUACCCUCCAAGGAAUUACACUAGAGGAGAUAUACCUCCCCUUAUAGCUCUAAAACAAUAACCAUGUGAAUUCUUUGUAGAAGUGAAACCAUUAAAGACAGAAGCCCCAAAGGAAUAAAAAUGUUUUGCAAAAAUGUGCCCUCAGUGACUGAAUCUCAGGAAUUUGGUUAAUUUGUCAAUUGUAUUUUCAGCAAUUCCCCAAAUGAAAUUAAGAUUUUAGCUUAACAAGAAAUAUCGCAACAUCUUAGUGCUACCAAAAUUGAUUUGGUUUUAUUUUUAUUUUAAAUGGGAUUCCAACCAACCUCCAUGUCAAUAACAUAGCAAAUGAUAAUAAAAAUAUACUUUCCUUUUUU
Monodelphis domestica (gray short-tailed opossum) is the source of this 1162-nucleotide long non-coding RNA. RefSeq lists it as uncharacterized. Lineage: Eukaryota; Metazoa; Chordata; Mammalia; Didelphimorphia; Didelphidae. The record is from RefSeq and is a predicted model, not a curated record.